This 71-nucleotide transfer RNA is filed under the name bacterium 336/3. It matches the Rfam family "tRNA". From Rfam's summary of the family: Transfer RNA (tRNA) molecules are approximately 80 nucleotides in length. Their secondary structure includes four short double-helical elements and three loops (D, anti-codon, and T loops). Further hydrogen bonds mediate the characteristic L-shaped molecular structure. tRNAs have two regions of fundamental functional importance: the anti-codon, which is responsible for specific mRNA codon recognition, and the 3' end, to which the tRNAs corresponding amino acid is attached (by aminoacyl-tRNA synthetases). tRNAs cope with the degeneracy of the genetic code in two manners: having more than one tRNA (with a specific anti-codon) for a particular amino acid; and 'wobble' base-pairing, i.e. permitting non-standard base-pairing at the 3rd anti-codon position. Lineage: Bacteria; Pseudomonadati. The record is from Rfam by way of RNAcentral.
UGCCCGAUCGUCUAACGGCAGGACUACAGUUUUUGGUACUGUGUAUAUUGGUUCGAAUCCAGUUCGGGCAA